This 429-nucleotide ribosomal RNA is filed under the name uncultured Desulfobulbus sp. RNAcentral describes it as "bacterial SSU rRNA". It matches the Rfam family "Bacterial small subunit ribosomal RNA", at positions 960 to 1382 of the family's 1533-position model. Lineage: Bacteria; Pseudomonadati; Thermodesulfobacteriota; Desulfobulbia; Desulfobulbales; Desulfobulbaceae. The record is from RNAcentral.
CGCGAAGAACCUUACCUGGUCUUGACCAUCCCGGAGACCCUUAGGAAACUAGGGGGUGCUUCCAUCUGGAAGAAUCUGGAGACAGGUGCUGCAUGGCUGUCGUCAGCUCGUGUCGUGAGAUGUUGGGUUAAGUCCCGCAACGAGCGCAACCCUUGCCUUUAGUUGCCAGCAGUUCGGCUGGGCACUCUAAAGGGACUGCCGGUGUUAAACCGGAGGAAGGCGGGGAUGACGUCAAGUCCUCAUGGCCUUUAUGACCAGGGCUACACACGUACUACAAUGGCCGAUACAAAGGGCAGCGACACUGCGAGGUGAAGCCAAUCCCGUAAAAUCGGUCUCAGUCCGGAUUGGAGUCUGCAACUCGACUCCAUGAAGUUGGAAUCGCUAGUAAUCGUGGAUCAGCAUGCCACGGUGAAUACGUUCCCGGGCCUU